RNAcentral lists this ribosomal RNA (434 nucleotides) under uncultured Oscillospiraceae bacterium. RNAcentral's name for it is "bacterial SSU rRNA". It matches the Rfam family "Bacterial small subunit ribosomal RNA", at positions 341 to 792 of the family's 1533-position model. The record is from RNAcentral. Lineage: Bacteria; Bacillati; Bacillota; Clostridia; Eubacteriales; Oscillospiraceae.
ACGGGAGGCAGCAGUUGGGAAUAUUGCGCAAUGGAGGAAACUCUGACGCAGUGACGCCGGGUGCAGGAAGAAGGUUUUCGGAUUGUAAACUGCUUUAGACAGGGAAGAUAGUGACAGUACCUGUAGAAUAAGCUCCGGCUAACUACGUGCCAGCAGCCGCGGUAAUACGUAGGGAGCGAGCGUUAUCCGGAUUUAUUGGGUGUAAAGGGUGCGUAGACGGGAAAUUAAGUUAGUUGUGAAAUCCCUCGGCUUAACUGAGGAACUGCAACUAAAACUGAUUUUCUUGAGUGCUGGAGAGGAAAGCGGAAUUCCUAGUGUAGCGGUGAAAUGCGUAGAUAUUAGGAGGAACACCAGUGGCGAAGGCGGCUUUCUGGACAGAAACUGACGUUGAGGCACGAAAGUGUGGGGAGCAAACAGGAUUAGAUACCCUGGUA